GAUCUCAUGCGUGCUUCUUGCAGCUGUUUUUCUGAAUCAACGUUGUCAACGUCUGUAGCCAUUAUCAGCCGCGCCUUUGUGUAAAAUAGAUUUUUCAUCUCGGAGGAGAAAAAGAGGAAAAGUGUAUCCCUCUCACAGUAAAUAUUUCUCCUGCAACACAACUUUUUGGGUGGUUCUCUGGAAGCUUCCAGAAGUGUAUGUCCCUGCUCAUUCCAGUGCGGUGAGCUCACCCAGUCUUGGGGUCCAAGCUGUCCCAGGAUGCAGCUGUCAUUCAUGUCACUCAGACUAUCUUCCGCUAACUCAGCUAGAAAAUGUAACUGGUAGUUGUAUGUGUGGAAAAAUGUGUGUGUGUGUGUGUGUGUAAAAGAGAGAGAGAGUAUGUGUGUAUGUGAUUCCAUGUGUGUUUGUGUGUUAUGCAUGUAAGUGUGCUGAGAGUGUGUAGUGCUGCUAUCUCAAGCAUCUCUUGUGAUCCUCUGCCUUACCCCAGGGCUGAAGUUUCAAAGGUCAACAGUCACAGACCUCACCGGUUCAGUCAAGGGCUGAGGGUUCAAAGGUCACCAGUCACAGACCUCACUGGUCCAACUGUAGCUGAAGUGAACAAACUGGAGGGGGACGCAAACUCAGGCUUUCCCACGGAGUCGCACACACUCCUUGAGCUGCUCAGAUGAACUCGGUCAUGUUUUCCUUGGAAACAUGCUACAAACAGGACACACGCAACAGAACACACACACACUGACAGCGGUAAGGAAUUGCACACAUGAGAAACCUGUAAACCUCUGAGUGCUUUAUCGCUGAAGGCCAAGCGAUGCUGUUUACUUUCACAGGGUUGGAUAAGGUCAGACUGAGUCAUCUGCCCAUCGCUCCGUGUGUACAGCGUUUCCUGAUCAUUUGCAAUGGCAAUGUGUUCCCUUGGCUCAACUGGUAGAUCCACUGAUAUAGCAAGAUGCUAACAACACUAAGGUCACGGGUUUGAUUCCUAGGGAGUUCCCAGAGGCUACCAAUGCAUCUCUGGACAAUUAGUCGGUUUGGAUAAACGCUCCAAAAAAUGUAAUGUUUUACUGGUUUAUAUUUACAUCAGAGCCUUUGCAACCAGUUUCAAAGCAGGGAUGGAGAGUCCAUAUUUGGGCAU
Long non-coding RNA from Clupea harengus (Atlantic herring), 1129 nucleotides. Lineage: Eukaryota; Metazoa; Chordata; Actinopteri; Clupeiformes; Clupeidae. The record is from Ensembl.